AACGCACAUUGCGCCUUCUGGUAUUCCGGUAGGCAUGCCUGUUUGAGCGUCAGCAAAACACCCUCGGGACUGUGUAUUUUCAUAUCCAGUGUCGGUCUUGGGCAGCGGAUGCCGGUGGUUAUUUCUUUCCACCUGCGCCCUCCCUAAACUUGCUGCACGACCGCAAGCCCCCUUCUAGCCCAGGUCAAUGGAGUGGUGUUACAAUCUUCCAAGAAGCCUGCUGGUAAACUGCUUUGCGGCGUUAAACCCUUAACGCCUCCCCUCCGAGGGAGACUUGAAGUUUUGACCUCAGAUCAGACAAGGAUACCCGCGGAACUUAA
Molecule: unclassified non-coding RNA, 320 nt
Filed under: uncultured fungus
Lineage: Eukaryota; Fungi
Description: partial contains 5.8S ribosomal RNA, internal transcribed spacer 2, and large subunit ribosomal RNA
Rfam family: 5.8S ribosomal RNA (bases 1-52)
Source: RNAcentral